UGGGGAAUAUUGCACAAUGGGGGAAACCCUGAUGCAGCGACGCCGCGUGAGCGAUGAAGGCUUUCGAGUCGUAAAGCUCUGUCCUAUGGGAAGAUAAUGACGGUACCAUAGAAGAAAGCCCCGGCUAAUUACGUGCCAGCAGCCGCGGUAAUACGUAAGGGGCGAGCGUUGUCCGGAAUUAUUGGGCGUAAAGAGUGCGUACGCGGCAAAUUAAGUCAGAUGUGAAAACUAAGGGCUCAACCCAUAGAUUGCAUCUGAAACUGAUAUGCUUGAGUCAAGGAGAGGAAAGUGGAAUUCCUAGUGUAGCGGUGGAAUGCGUAGAUAUUAGGAGGAAUACCGGUGGCGAAGGCGACUUUCUGGACUUGAACUGACGCUGAGGCACGAAAGCGUGGGGAGCAAACAGG
Molecule: ribosomal RNA, 404 nt
Filed under: Verrucomicrobiota bacterium
Lineage: Bacteria; Pseudomonadati; Verrucomicrobiota
Description: Verrucomicrobia bacterium partial 16S ribosomal RNA
Rfam family: Bacterial small subunit ribosomal RNA
Source: RNAcentral